GUAACGGCGAGUGAAGCGGCAACAGCUCAAAUUUGAAAUCUGGCCCUCUGGGUCCGAGUUGUAAUUUGUAGAGGAUGCUUUUGGUACGGUGCCUUCCGAGUGCCCUGGAACGGGACGCCAUAGAGGGUGAGAGCCCCGUCUGGUUGGAUACCACGCCUCUGUAAAGCUCCUUCGACGAGUCGAGUAGUUUGGGAAUGCUGCUCAAAAUGGGAGGUAUAUGUCUUCUAAAGCUAAAUAUUGGCCAGAGACCGAUAGCGCACAAGUAGAGUGAUCGAAAGAUGAAAAGCACUUUGAAAAGAGGGUUAAAUAGUACGUGAAAUUGUUGAAAGGGAAGCACUCAUGACCAGACUUGGGCCCGGUGAAUCAUCCAGCGUUCUCGCUGGUGCACUUCGCCGGCUCAGGCCAGCAUCAGUUCGCCCCGGGGGAUAAAGGCUUCGGGAAAGUAGCUCCUCCGGGAGUGUUAUAGACCGUUGCACAAUACCCUGGGGCGGACUGAGGUUCGCGCUUCCGCAAGGAUGCUGGCGUAAUGGUCAUCAGUGA
This 540-nucleotide ribosomal RNA is filed under the name Hypocreales sp. RNAcentral's name for it is "LSU rRNA". It matches the Rfam family "Eukaryotic large subunit ribosomal RNA", at positions 83 to 647 of the family's 3401-position model. Lineage: Eukaryota; Fungi; Ascomycota; Sordariomycetes; Hypocreales. The record is from RNAcentral.